GGAUGUGAGAGUGAUCUUCCUAUGACAUCUGUCACCCUACUGAUGACUGGGGUUGAUUCAGCUGAUCUGGCUGGCUAGGCAGGUGUCCCCUUCCUCCUUCACUGUUCCGUGUGCAUCCCUCCCCAAACUAUGCACUUGGGUGAAGAUUACUUUUCCUGAUAGAGAAGGGGAUGGUUCUUUAGUCAAGGGCAUAUGAGUAGCUAUGUUCUCCUGCUAAAACCCCCAAACAAGCUCUCAAGUGUGCUAGGUUUUUCUUCAUGUAUUUGGGGGCUUUGUUGUAAAGUGCUUUUAUGAAUGUAGUUGUUGUACACCUUCUAGAUGUAUUUAGCAUUUUUUCUUUAGGA
This is a non-coding RNA of Otolemur garnettii (small-eared galago), 344 nucleotides long. The record is from Rfam. Lineage: Eukaryota; Metazoa; Chordata; Mammalia; Primates; Galagidae.